GGUGAGGUGCUGGAGCGGCCGAACAGGUCGGUCUUGAAAACCGAUGUAGUCAUUUUUGGCUACCGUGGGUUCGAAUCCCACCCUCACCG
RNAcentral lists this transfer RNA (89 nucleotides) under Candidatus Woesebacteria bacterium RIFCSPHIGHO2_01_FULL_37_10. RNAcentral's name for it is "tRNA-Ser". It matches the Rfam family "tRNA". Rfam says of the family: Transfer RNA (tRNA) molecules are approximately 80 nucleotides in length. Their secondary structure includes four short double-helical elements and three loops (D, anti-codon, and T loops). Further hydrogen bonds mediate the characteristic L-shaped molecular structure. tRNAs have two regions of fundamental functional importance: the anti-codon, which is responsible for specific mRNA codon recognition, and the 3' end, to which the tRNAs corresponding amino acid is attached (by aminoacyl-tRNA synthetases). tRNAs cope with the degeneracy of the genetic code in two manners: having more than one tRNA (with a specific anti-codon) for a particular amino acid; and 'wobble' base-pairing, i.e. permitting non-standard base-pairing at the 3rd anti-codon position. Lineage: Bacteria; Candidatus Woeseibacteriota. The record is from RNAcentral.